GUUAGGUUUGAAACUGCGAAUGGCUCAUUAUAUCAGUUAUAGUUUAUUUGGUGAAGUGUACUACUUGGAUAACCGUAGUAAUUCUAGGGCUAAUACAUGAGAAAGUCCUCUGGUGAGGUGUGUUUAUUAGAAUGAAAACCAUAUGCUUCGGCAUGAUAGUGAGUAAUAGUAACCUAUCGUAUCGCAUGCUUAAUGUAGCGAUGAGUCUUUCAAGUUUCUGCCCUAUCAGCUUUCGAUGGUAGUAUAUGGGCCUACCAUG
RNAcentral lists this ribosomal RNA (259 nucleotides) under Blastocystis hominis. RNAcentral describes it as "partial 18S ribosomal RNA". It matches the Rfam family "Eukaryotic small subunit ribosomal RNA", at positions 74 to 348 of the family's 1831-position model. Lineage: Eukaryota; Bigyra; Opalinata; Blastocystidae. The record is from RNAcentral.